UAUUUUUGUGGCAUGAACAGUUUUCAGGUUUUUAAUACUCAUGAUCUGAAUAAGAGUAGUUUCUAAAAAGAUAUGAGUAUGGUAUGUCAUCAUGGACAGGAGAUGACUGCAUAAGACUGUAGUUUUGCCUUCUCGAAUUAGGUCUCUUGAGAAAAAAAAUCCAUCAUGCCUAUUAAAACCUAGUUAUGCUAUAUCUGUAAAGGUGUCAAAUGACUCAAUAAGGCUUUUUAUUUUGUCAUGGAGUUUUAUCAGGUGUGCUCUGAUUAUGUAUACAAAACUUUCCCUGAUCCCUGUUAGCCCUGUAAACACACCUAAAUGAAAGUCAAGGUUUCUUUUUCAACCCUACUGCUGUUAGUAAGAACACCACAGGCUAAAUUAUGCCCCCAUUUAUUUCUUUCUUAAACUACAUCUUUGGAUGAACUUGUCCAAAUCUGUUAGUUUUCAGCAGGAUUUGCAUAGGUGCAGCUGAGGACAGGCUGGCCUGCAGCAGUUUAUACUACUGCAGGUGACAGCACACGAAAACAUGCAUAAUCAACACAUGACCUGAGCAUCUCUGUCUUUUACCAUUUGUUUUCAGUAUCACAAAAUGAUAUGCUUGUCACUGCUUCAAUACAACUGGUUUAAUACAAAUGGAAUAAAUACUCUGUCACUGUAGCAAGAAAGAGUCUCUUUCUCUUCUAGAUCAAUUUCCUGCCAGUAGAAUAUUGCUAAAUACUGACUUUGGUGGUUUGACUAGUUUUAAAUUCUCCAAGCAUCAAGGCAUUGUUGUUAUUUAAAGACUAUUUCAUUUUAAUAACUUCUACUAGGGGGAAUUUGCAGUUCUCCUAAUUUUUAACUUUACAUUAGCUGAGCCUGCUCAUGUCACAGGGAGUAAACAACUAAAGAAACUUCAUUCUCUGUUGUCAGCUCAAAUUACUGUUAAAGCACAGCAAGUUGGUGUCCCUGCACUUACAGGAAUCAAAUUUCUUUAAGAGGUAUGGAGCACCUACAAAGUGUAUUUGGCUAUGUUUUGCUUGCUUUAAUCCCAUUUAGCAUCUUCACUUUAAAUAUAUCUUGCUGAGAAAAUGACUUUGGGUCCAAGACUGGCUUAGCAACUUUUGGAACUGCUUAAUCAGGCAGCUUGAGACGUGUUUUGGGCUAAACCCAAAUGAUGAAAUUAUGCUAUGGGUGCCUCAGUUCAUACCUGGGAAAUAAUGACUAUUUCAAAUACAGUUACCAUUCACUGAUGGGAGAAGGAGAUGAAGGUGAAUUUAUGCUUGCAGAAUCAGCUGUGCUAGAGGAGGGGUUAACACCUUUGUGACUGUGGCAGGUGUGUAGCUGAUUUCUGUGGGAAGGUUUUUUUGGGGAGGGAAGGUUUAAAUUCUGCCUGCCUGGGUAAAAAGCUGUUCUAGUAGUGGUUUCCUGAAGGAAAGGUGCUUUUGUCUUGCCCUAGCUUUACUUUUUUUCAGUGGUUUAUGAAUAAUAAAUUAAAUCAGAACAUAGUGUUGCAGAAAGACAGGAAUUGCUCUCUGUCUGGAAAAGAGAAUCAAAAGAGAACAUUGAUCAGUUUAUGAAGGCUGUCCUGAGAAACUGUAGAGCCUUCACUGAGGAACAGGAAACAGCAUCUGCUCAGUAUGCUCUUCAAGUGGUGAACACCUGCUCCUGGAGAGGUUCUCAAUUCUAUGCUGCCUACAAAACUCAGAACAAAACCAAGCAGGAUCCCGGAGGUAAGACUGUCAAAUUAAGAACAGUACCUGUAGGAGAAACAGUGCCUCUCGCUUGGGCUAGGAAAAGUACUCACCAGAUGAACAUGUUGUGGAUUGAAUCCAGGUUUCACAGAUCUAGUCUGGCGACCAGUCCAGAAGCUACAAGUAGUUACUUGGUCAGUUAGUUAAAGACUUUGGAUAAAUUAUUAGAAUAAUCUCCAGAACUGACACCCUAGGACCAGGCUUCAGUGUUCUUGUCCAGACAAAACCUAUUGUUUUAUUUUGCUAGGAUUAGAAUGAAAUAAGUGUGAAAUUCUAUACUGUGAAACUAAAUUUAUUUCUGUCCAUAACUAAUUAAGGUUUACAUCCCUAAUACCUGACAAGCUGGAUCCAUACUGAGAUCAAAAAUAAAGGGUGGAAAACCAGAAGACUAAUGAUUGCAAUUCUACUGGUUGGAUAGAGCAUAGCAUAUGAACAUGUGAAAGCCUAGGAUUAAAUUGAGGUUUGUGCCUCUGCUGUUCAACCUGCUGCCAUGGCUGAACUUGCUGCACUGUUCUCCAGACAUCCAGUCCUUGUUUUUUCAGUUUUUGUCAAUUACAGAAGUUUUCAUAACUCUCCUGCAACUGUAAAUAUUAAUGAUGAUUUAUGAAUUGUUGUGUGUGUGACACACAGGGAUUCAACACAAUCUUGCUAUGAAGUGUUUACUGUCUUACUGCGCAGUCAGUAAUGAGUUACUAUGUUUAAGUGAUGCAGAAGUAAUAGUCUGAAAAACCUCAGUAAGCCAUAGUAAGAGGCUGAAAUCUCAGCUCUUGUGAAUGGUAAUUAAAUAUUUUUAAGUACUCAGACUAGAGUGCUGAAAUUGUAUUAUUUCUAGCUCCUCCAACUUUUGCAUGGAUAUUAUCAUGUGGUUACAGUUUUCUUCUAACUGGAUCAAGAGAUUUUAAAGCUUACCUGGUUUGCGUAUGUCUCCCUUACUUCAGAGCCUGGGGUUUUCUAUCCUUACACAUCUAGCUGAAAUUUAAAAAAAAUAGUAUGCAUAUUUCAAA
Neopsephotus bourkii (Bourke's parrot) is the source of this 2731-nucleotide long non-coding RNA. RefSeq lists it as uncharacterized. The transcript has 3 exons. Lineage: Eukaryota; Metazoa; Chordata; Aves; Psittaciformes; Psittacidae. The record is from RefSeq and is a predicted model, not a curated record.